UGCGUAGGCGGCGCCGUAAGUCAGGUGUGAAAUCUCGGAGCUUAACUCCGAAACUGCAUUCGAUACUGCCGUGCUUGAGGACUGGAGAGGAGACUGGAAUUUACGGUGUAGCGGUGAAAUGCGUAGAUAUCGUAAGGAAGACCAGUGGCGAAGGCGGGUCUCUGGACAGUUCCUGACGCUGAGGCACGAGGGCCAGGGAGCAAACG
This 206-nucleotide ribosomal RNA is filed under the name uncultured bacterium. RNAcentral describes it as "partial 16S ribosomal RNA". It matches the Rfam family "Bacterial small subunit ribosomal RNA", at positions 568 to 774 of the family's 1533-position model. The record is from RNAcentral.